AAUCAACGCUGGCGGCGUGCCUCAGACAUGCAAGUCGAACGAUUAAAGCUCUCUUCGGAGAGUGCAUAGAGUGGCGCACGGGUGAGUAACACGUAAGUAAUCUACCUUUGAGUGGGGAAUAACGUCCGGAAACGGACGCUAAUACCGCAUAAUGCAGCGGCAUCGCAAGAUGACAGUUGUUAAAGAUUUAUCGCUUGAAGAGGAGCUUGCGGCAGAUUAGCUAGUUGGUAAGGUAAUGGCUUACCAAGGCUACGAUCUGUAACCGGUCUUAGAGGACGGUCGGUCACACUGACACUGAAUAACGGGUCAGACUCCUACGGGAGGCAGCAGUCGGGAAUUUUGGGCAAUGGGCGAAAGCCUGACCCAGCAACGCCGCGUGAAGGAUGAAGUAUUUCGGUAUGUAAACUUCGAAAGAAUAGGAAGAAUUAAUGACGGUACUAUUUAUAAGGUCCGGCUAACUACGUG
RNAcentral lists this ribosomal RNA (465 nucleotides) under uncultured bacterium. Its description in RNAcentral is "bacterial SSU rRNA". It matches the Rfam family "Bacterial small subunit ribosomal RNA", at positions 32 to 507 of the family's 1533-position model. The record is from RNAcentral.